RNAcentral lists this ribosomal RNA (414 nucleotides) under uncultured bacterium. RNAcentral describes it as "bacterial SSU rRNA". It matches the Rfam family "Bacterial small subunit ribosomal RNA", at positions 355 to 768 of the family's 1533-position model. The record is from RNAcentral.
UAAGGAAUAUUGCUCAAUGGGAGAAAUCCUGAAGCAGCAACGCCGCGUGGAGGAUGAAGGGUCUAUGACUUGUAAACUCCUGUAAAGAAGGAAAAAAUUCCCAUUUGAUGGGAGAUGAUGGUACUUCUGGAGUAAGCCCCGGCUAACUACGUGCCAGCAGCCGCGGUAAUACGUAGGGGGCAAGCGUUGUCCGGAUUUACUGGGUGUAAAGGGUGCUCAGGCGGAUUUGUAAGUCAGAGGUGAAAUCUUACAGCUUAACUGUGAAACUGCCUUUGAUUCUGCAAACCUAGAGUAUGGAAGAGAGUGAUGGAAUAUCUGGUGGAGCAGUGAAAUGCGUAGAUAUCAGAUAGAACACCAAUGGCGAAGGCAGUCACUUGGUCCAUUACUGACGCUAAAGCACGAAAGCGUGGGUAG